Molecule: transfer RNA, 72 nt
Filed under: Capra hircus (goat)
Lineage: Eukaryota; Metazoa; Chordata; Mammalia; Artiodactyla; Bovidae
Also listed under: 1 other name
Rfam family: tRNA
About the family: Transfer RNA (tRNA) molecules are approximately 80 nucleotides in length. Their secondary structure includes four short double-helical elements and three loops (D, anti-codon, and T loops).
Source: Rfam by way of RNAcentral
CCCUGGCUGCUUAGAAAGUAAAGAAUCUGCCUGUAAUGCAGGAGACCCCAGGUUCCACCCCUGGGUUGAGGA